Molecule: long non-coding RNA, 2351 nt
Filed under: Canis lupus familiaris (dog)
Lineage: Eukaryota; Metazoa; Chordata; Mammalia; Carnivora; Canidae
Description: lncRNA (ENSCAFG00030001832.1)
Source: RNAcentral
CAGGACCCCGUCCUCACCACUGACCCACAACACACAACCUGUGCCAGUGUCCUUCCAUGACACCAUCCAGGCAUUUAUGAUGUAAUGAGAGGCCUGCCUGGCUCCCAUCGGAUAUGAAGGUGAAGGUGAUAAAUGCUUAUACUCUCAUGAUGGUGUGUGUGUGUGUGUGUGUGUGUGUGUGUGAACUCUGGGUCCACAUCACUACCAUGUCAUGGUGGGAAACUCUCUCACUCCCCAGACAUUUUAACAUUUUUGCAGAACAUCUCUUUUCUAUUGUGUGGAUUGGAGAUUCAUCUAUGCCGUGAUGGUGCAAGACACCAUGUUAGCAUGGGGUCUUGUGAUCCACAGUGAGUGUCAUUAGGACUCAUGAAAAUGUUCAGAUGAUGUGAAUGGAGUUAUUUGUAAUUGAUGAAUAUUUCUGGUCAGGAAAUGUUAAGUACAAGUAAGUGCAAGCACUAUAGUUGAAUUCUAAGUCUGUAAGAAAGAGGCUGAAUAGGUAAACACACAAUCAAGUGUCCAGAGAGACUCCCUGGGGGAAACUACUCCAUGGAGAGGAAGCCCAGACCCUGACAGGAAACCUGCCCAGAACCUCCCUCUGCACCUGCUCAUGGGCCUUCAAGAUAGAAGUGGUGAGUAGUGUGCACCCCCUGGUGGUCCUGAUCCCCUUCUACAGGGAUGUUUGUGUCUGGGCUCACACAGAGGUCCCUUCACUGUUUCUGCACAGUAAUACACAGCCAUGUCCUCAGCUCUCAGGCUGUUCAUCUGAAGAUACAGCAUGUUCUUGGCGUUGUCUCUGGAGAUGGUGAAUCGGCCCUUCACAACGUCUUUGUAACCCUUGCUACUUCCAUCAUAGCUAAUGUAUGCGACACACUGCAACCCUUUCCUAGAGCCUAAUGGACCCAGCUCAUGUCAUAGUUACUGAAGGUGAAUCCAGAGGCCACACAGGACAGUCUCAGAGACCCCCCAGGCUUCACCAGGUCUCCCCCAGACUCCACCAGCUGUACAUCACUCUGGACACCUGCAGACACAAGACAUCCUGGUCAGGAAACUGUCCCACAUCCCCUGUUUCUCAUUCACCUCCACUCACAGCCUCAAGCUCCAUUGCUCUCCAUGAGUUACCUUUAAAAAUAGCGACAAGGAAAACCCAGCUGAGACUCCAUUGUGGUAUGUCUGUGUUCUGUCCUGGUCUCUGAAUGGUGUCACCUGGAGAUCCUGGGGCCUGGGCUGCUCUCCCAGCUGCAUGGUCAUUAGAGUGAGGGCCCUAUUUUCAUUUCCUCUAACUAUAUAGUCAACCCCAGACUUAGACUCAUUUUUAACAAGUUAUAUACAAGCAUUACUUCACAAUCCUAGAUCACUUUCUUUACGUGGGACAGUGGAUUUUUGAUGUUCUAACCCAUCAACAUAUUUAUCUUUACAUUUCCCUGUGCCUUUUGAAAUUCUUUCAUCAAUAUAGGUCAUUUUUUAAAGAUUUACUUAUUUAUUUGUGAUAGAUGAGAAAGAGAGAGAGAGAGAGAGAGAGAGAGAGAGAGAGAGAGAAAGGCAGAGACACAGGAGGAGGGAGAAGCAGGUUCCAUGCCAGGAGCCUGAUGUGGGACUCGAUCCUGGGACUCCAGGAUCGUGCCCUGGGCCAAAGGCAGGCGCUAAACCACUGAGCCAUGCAGGGAUCCCCAAUAUAGGUCAUUUUUAAACAGGAUUUUCUCUCCGUAAUGAAGUUUAAUCAUAAAUAUUUAUUUUUGAUACCAGUGUAAAGUGGAUUAUUUUGCAAAUUUUAUACAGAAAAAUUUGUUGUUACUGUGUAGAAAUUAACUUUAUUGUCUAUGUUUAUUUGAUAUCAUGUAUUUUCCCUGAGCUCAUUACUUACUUCUAAGUGUUUUUCUCCAAGGAUUUUCCUCGUUUACUUUGUAUAUGCAAACACAUUGUUUUUCUUCCUGUUGACUGAUUUUAAUAUCUUUUAUUUUAUUAUUGCCUAAUUUCUAUGGUACUCUUCAAUGGCAUAGACGUUUUCCCUCUUCUCUAUCUGAUUCUUCGUUUGAAUAUUUUGUUUGAAUAUAGCAGAUCUAGGAGAGCAGAUGAAUUUCAACUUCAUGUGGAUGAGCUCACUAAUCUAUGGUGUGAUGUAGGAAUUCAGGACAGGACAGGAAGUCUGUUCACAACUUCUGCCCAAUUCUGAUUGAAGAUACUGGUGGCUGUUGCAUUUGAUAAUUCAGUGUAGAUUUGAUUUGAGCCUUUAAUCUGAUGAGACAUUUCCAAAAAUCUUCUCUCAUUCUGUAUGUUGCCUUUUAAUUACACUGAGUGAUUCCUUUGCUGUGAAAAUGCUCUUUCCUUGAUGAAGUCCCCAUAGUUCAUUUUCC